Long non-coding RNA from Ailuropoda melanoleuca (giant panda), 1122 nucleotides. RefSeq lists it as uncharacterized. The record is from RefSeq and is a predicted model, not a curated record. NCBI's taxonomy places the organism in Eukaryota, Metazoa, Chordata, Mammalia, Carnivora, Ursidae. The transcript is spliced from 4 exons.
AGGAACAGACCAGUGCUGGCUGCCCCCAGGUCACCGGGGCUCAAGGCCGAUCCUGCAUUUUCAGCCAGGCCCGUAAGGACUCUGUCCCGCCACAGGCAUGCAGAAGCAACAGAAGUGCUUUGAUUUUUCCUUUUUAAAAAUGUCCUCCAGGCUGACCCUACUACCUAUGCUCUCACUGCAGGGUCAGCAGAGGGUGAAAUGAGAGCAUGCUCCGGGAAUUUCCUGACUUCUGUGAAUUUUUCUCAAGAUCUGGCCAUGAGUCAAUGUGAUGCACAGUGAUACAUGAGACUGCGAGUGGGGAUGAGAAGAGGAAUGGAGAAUCGAGAAUUGUUCAGAUCUACAAUGCCCUGACAACAUCUGAGAACCUAGAACACUCCCUAAAAGGCCCAAGGACACUGGACUAGGUCCCUGGGCCAGUUGGAGGAAGCCUAAGCCGGGAAGGAAAAUCUCAACUGCAAGCAAAAGCUCGCAGAGCUCUUACACCUCCUGCCCUUCUGAGGAAAGGAGGCGACAAUUGGCCAACGGCUAUUUGCUUGCUGAGGUGCGGGCCCCUGGGGCAGGCCUGCCAGGAGGGAAGGGGUCUGGUCGGAGCCCCAGACGUCCCUGAGCCCCAGGCAGGCCUCUCCUACUGGCAGGCUCUCCGUGCUGGAGUCCACCUAGCUAUAAAAUGAGCAACACAGCAUUCUGCCCUCCCUCAGGUGGGCCGUGAGGUUUAAUUAUUGUAAAUUUGUGACAUGUUUUAAGGUCCGUGGAGUAAAGCGUUUGCAUGAGAAAAUGCCCACAUUCUGCAGUGUGGAAUUCCGCGCGUCAUGUUUCCUGUCACUGACCUCCCCUUUGUGUUACAUUACUUGGAACGAGGACCAUGAGCUAUGAGGUCAUCAGAAUAAGUAAUUUCUUGGCCUACUUUUCUUUACCUAAAAAAAAAAAAUUCUUCUUCUAAUUCUGGUUUUUUGGUUUUUUUUUUUUUUUUUUUCCCCUUUUUAAUGCAGCCAAAAGUUUUUUCCUCCGAGUGUAUAGUAACAGAACAGGAGCCAGCCGGUUGGAAAUGGACCGACCCUUUCCAUCUUGGUGUUUUCUCGUGGUCUCACGUCUGCCUCUCAUUGCCUUUGCUCCCUACCUCCA